RNAcentral lists this ribosomal RNA (653 nucleotides) under uncultured bacterium. RNAcentral describes it as "bacterial SSU rRNA". It matches the Rfam family "Bacterial small subunit ribosomal RNA", at positions 202 to 842 of the family's 1533-position model. The record is from RNAcentral.
AAAAGGUGGCUAUGCUACCGCUUUUGGAUGGGCCCGCGGCGCAUUAGCUAGUUGGUGGGGUAAAGGCUUACCAAGGCAAUGAUGCGUAGCCGAACUGAGAGGUUGAUCGGCCACAUUGGGACUGAGACACGGCCCAAACUCCUACGGGAGGCAGCAGUAGGGAAUCUUCCACAAUGGGCGAAAGCCUGAUGGAGCAACGCCGCGUGGGUGAAGAAGGUCUUCGGAUCGUAAAACCCUGUUGUUAGAGAAGAAAGUGCGUGAGAGUAACUGUUCACGUUUCGACGGUAUCUAACCAGAAAGCCACGGCUAACUACGUGCCAGCAGCCGCGGUAAUACGUAGGUGGCAAGCGUUAUCCGGAUUUAUUGGGCGUAAAGGGAACGCAGGCGGUCUUUUAAGUCUGAUGUGAAAGCCUUCGGCUUAACCGGAGUAGUGCAUUGGAAACUGGGAGACUUGAGUGCAGAAGAGGAGAGUGGAACUCCAUGUGUAGCGGUGAAAUGCGUAGAUAUAUGGAAGAACACCAGUGGCGAAAGCGACUCUCUGGUCUGUAACUGACGCUGAGGUUCGAAGGCGUGGGUAGCAAACAGGAUUAGAUACCCUGGUAGUCCACGCCGUAAACGAUGAAUGCUAAGUGUUGGAGGGUUUCCGCCCUUCA